AAGUGGAUUGUAAUGUGUUUGUUUACUAAUCCAUUACACCAAUUUUCUUGCACACAUUCACAUGCAGCACAAUAAGGAAAAUCAUUUUGUAGAGGAUGCAAAGCAAUUCCAAGAAAAAGCAAAACUCUAUCAAGGAAACUACUAUACACUGGAUGGAGAAUUAAUCACCAUAAUACCUAGCUCGAAGGAGGGCUUUCGAUCAUGCAAAUCGCUUUAUUAUAAGAAGAAGCAACCUAUACCGGGAAGGUAAUAAAAUAUAGAUGCAGCUGCAUCUGCAGCAUAUUGAUGGCGUGCUUGCACAUACUCCUCAACCCUUCAAACUUUUACUUCAAUAAACGAAGGGUACCAAACCACUACCU
Molecule: unclassified non-coding RNA, 359 nt
Filed under: Schizosaccharomyces pombe (fission yeast)
Lineage: Eukaryota; Fungi; Ascomycota; Schizosaccharomycetes; Schizosaccharomycetales; Schizosaccharomycetaceae
Description: non-coding RNA (predicted)
Source: RNAcentral